GACGAACGCUGGCGGCGUGCUUAACACAUGCAAGUCGAACGGAAAGGCCCUGCUUUUGUGGGGUGCUCGAGUGGCGAACGGGCGAGUAACACGUGAGUAACCUGCCCUUGACUUUGGGAUAACUUCAGGAAACUGGGGCUAAUACCGGAUAGGAGCUCUUGCUGCAUGGGGGGGGUUGGAAAGUUUCGGCGGUUGGGGAUGGACUCGCGGCUUAUCAGCUUGUUGGUGGGGUAGUGGCUUACCAAGGCUUUGACGGGUAGCCGGCCUGAGAGGGUGACCGGCCACAUUGGGACUGAGAUACGGCCCAGACUCCUACGGGAGGCAGCAGUGGGGAAUAUUGCACAAUGGGCGGAAGCCUGAUGCAGCAACGCCGCGUGCGGGAUGACGGCCUUCGGGUUGUAAACCGCUUUCGCCUGUGACGAAGCGUGAGUGACGGUAAUGGGUAAAGAAGCACCGGCUAACUACGUG
RNAcentral lists this ribosomal RNA (468 nucleotides) under uncultured bacterium. RNAcentral's name for it is "partial 16S ribosomal RNA". It matches the Rfam family "Bacterial small subunit ribosomal RNA", at positions 28 to 507 of the family's 1533-position model. The record is from RNAcentral.